Molecule: long non-coding RNA, 1215 nt
Filed under: Helianthus annuus (common sunflower)
Lineage: Eukaryota; Viridiplantae; Streptophyta; Magnoliopsida; Asterales; Asteraceae
Description: hypothetical non coding rna
Source: RNAcentral
UUAAGAUCUUGAAGAGGAUGAUCCGUGAAUACAGAAUGGGAUGAACGCUAAGGCGGGCAAAGGUGCAAAUAGGCAAAUUAACCCCAGGAACGUGUCAAGGAGAGGUCAAGCAUAGGAGGAUAACGGGUCAAGAUAAGGCAAGAUGACAAAUACACUUAUUGGAGUACUCGAGGUAAGUGAAUUUCGAUUCACUUUUUAGUAGGUUUAAUAGAUUUUAAUACUUAUGUUUACGAAACAUCAUGAAAGAACAUGUAAUAAUCAGAAGUACAAAGCCAAUAAUGCCUCAUUAUUGAAGAAGGUUGUAUUUAAGCCGAAAGUAAAUUGGUGGGUUUAAACGGGUCGAAUUUUAUGUGCAUAUGUUGCGUAAUGAAAUGAAAUUCGUUAUGGUUAAGACCUUGGGUAAGAAUUUUAGUCAUUAUGUAAGGGGAACAUUUCCCGGACCAUUAGGUACAAGUUUUAUAUGAUUCGGUUGUCGGUCGAUGAAUGAACGGAUUGUUUCGUUUUAGUGUAGGAAAUUUUAUAAGUAUAUGUGUAUAGGAAUCCAAAGGCCACGUGGGUUGAAUCGUAGAUUGUCUAUACUAUGUAAAGUUUUGAAUGUGACAUUCCAGCAUAAACCUACAUGUAAAAGAAGCUUGUGUAUGUAUUCGUGAUUAAUUGAUUGUGCGAAGGAAGGAACAUUGGCAUGAAUGAAGGUACGCACAUAUAUAUAUAAGUGUAUAUAUAUAUAUGUAUGUAUGUAUGAUAAUAAGUACGUAGGUGUGAAUGUAUGUGUGAAUGAAUGUUCAAUGCUUAAGACAUAUGCAUGAACGUGUCAAAGGGUUCGAGUAUUUAUGGAUACUAAUGAUGUGCGUUGAGUUGGAAUGUAAUGUAGGUAUGGGGUCGUUGGCUUCAUGAAGAAAUGGAGCUGGAUUUGGAUAAGAGUAUUUAAGAAAGCGCUUGGACAAUUCCACGACUACUUUAUAGAAUGCUCUACGAAAUUUUAUUAUAUAGUUUAAUGUUGAAUGGUAUGUUAAUAACUAAUGGUUUGGUUGUACGUGGUGUCCACAGGUAUCGCUUGGGUUUUCUCUACUUUUAUUGAAGUGAAGCGGACUUAGUUCGAGUUGAGAGCAAGGAUUGUACGGGGUAGAAUGGUCACAUAGUGUAACUCAUAUAGGUUUUGAAGUAUUUAUAAAACGUUAUAAAUCCGUUUUAAUGAAUAUAUGGCAUUUCGCAUUU